AGUAUUCUAUAAAACACAGAUAUUUCAAAACCUCCCUCCUUUUCCAUGGCUAAUUCAUUGUCAUGGAAACUGAAUUUAUCAAAAUGUUCUUGUUCACUCCUAGUGACCCAGUGAGUCGACUUACAGAGCUGGUGAAAGCAUUUUUUCUUUGCUGAUCUGUAGCCCAAGGAUUCAAAAAUCCUUCAUCGCCUCAUCACAAACGUCUUUCCUUAUCUGUUGCUGAAGAUGAAACUGAGUCUGGAAAAUAUCAUUAAGACAAAUACUUAACUCAUCAUACCUUGAUCGUGGUGUUUAGAAGCUGCAUUUUCUAAAGAACAUUUUCAAAAAUAACCUGCAGUAGAUGGACUCCCUGUCUUGCUGAUUUCCCAGAAAAGGUACAAAAUCUUCCCCCAUCUUGCUCUCCUGUAAGU
Long non-coding RNA from Gallus gallus (chicken), 410 nucleotides. RefSeq lists it as uncharacterized. The record is from RefSeq and is a predicted model, not a curated record. The transcript is spliced from 4 exons. Lineage: Eukaryota; Metazoa; Chordata; Aves; Galliformes; Phasianidae.